CUCAAACCAAGGCUAAUUAUCUGCUAAUUAUCUAUAGGCUAUGAUUUAACUUGUCAAUUUCAAAAGAUUUUUUUAGCAAGUUGUAUUUUCUAACAACAGUUUGAAUUGUGGUGUGUUCCGCUUCCUUACUAAUUCACAUAUAAGUAGCCCAUUUCGCUGUUGCUGACAAUUUACAUUUGAGCAUAGUGAGCAGGACAAAAUUCUCUCUACGACAAGAGCCCAAGGACAAACUUUUUCCUCCCUGGCACAUGCAACGCCUUCACAACUAAUAAUAACUUUGUACAUGUGUGUUCCUAUCAAAUGUAACAGUGUAGGUUCCGUCCCUCUCUUCGCCCCAACCUGGGCUCGAACCAGGGACCCUUGCACACAUCAACAACUGACACCCACGAAGCAUCGUUACCCAUCGCGCCACAAAAGCCACGGCCCUUGCAACGCAAGGGGAAACCCUACUUCAAGUCUCAGAGCGAGUGACGUCACCGAUUGAAACGCUAUUAGCGCGCACCACCGCUAACUAACUAGCCAUUUCACAUCGGUUACACCAGCAAGAAAACAAAAAAUGCCGCUCAAACAGCCGGGAGAAAUAAUAAAGAGUCACAUACCAACAACCCAAAUGAAACAGAUGGGGUUUUAGGAGGGGUUCUGAAACACACUCAUGGGGUUGUCCACUGAAAGUUGACUAGCAACAACUGGAACCUAAAAUACACCCACCAUGAACACCCACAAAAUGUGCCCAAUAAGAGGCAAACAAAAUAAAAACCCACACCAAACUUAAAGACAAGAAACAAACCAAAAACGUGGCACAACAUUACAUCAAAUAAAGGAUUCUUUGUCUAGAAAUCAAAGUAGGGAAAAACAACUAAAGGUGUUAACCCUCCAAAUCUAUCAAGACAAGUGGAGCACUGGGCCAGCCACCCUUAAAUAGCACCUGGGCCAGUGGCGAUUUUAGCAUGUAAAUCUUGGUGGGCAAACUACCCACAUUUUUUGGGGAUGCAUGCCAGCAAAGUCACUACACAACACUAAACAAUGCAUUAAUUGGACUAUAACAGUGACAAACGGUGCCCACAAACUGUUAGGGCCCAAAUAAAGCUGUACCAACAGAAGAGUCCCAACAGCAGUCCCAACAUCUUAACACUGUUACACCUGGCUAUCAGCUGAGCCUUGUCUGGCAGCGAAAAAGAUUCAGCCUCAUUUACUGGCUUAAAAAAAAAACAUAGCUGAUAUGGCUGACUUGCUUAAAAUGUGGUUUCUAAUGACAACUGAGAUGUACAAACUAUGGCAUAAGGGGACGAUGAGCGGAUAAGCGGCAAUCCGUAAUUUUGAUUAAGCCAUUAGUGAGCGAGCUAGGACAGAUGUAGUCAAUAUAACUAUUUGUUCAGCGACAGAAUUCAGAACAUGGGCCAUUCUUACAGUAUUCUCUCUGUACACCAAGUCAAAACCAUAGGAUAAAUAAAGGGGGCAUAUAAGCAGACAAUUAAAUCUCUUAUAAUAUUCGAUGAUGGCAUUUCUCCAAAACAGGCUAUAGGCUACAUGUGCA
This 1534-nucleotide long non-coding RNA is filed under the name Salmo salar (Atlantic salmon). RNAcentral describes it as "lncRNA (ENSSSAG00000114770.1, ENSSSAG00000121434.1)". The record is from RNAcentral. Lineage: Eukaryota; Metazoa; Chordata; Actinopteri; Salmoniformes; Salmonidae.